AUGUUGGCGUUUCGGGACACCCUGGAGAUGUGCGGACUGGUUGAUUUGGGUUUCAGUGGUGUUCCGUUCACAUAUGAUAACAAGCGAAGCAGAAGGAAUAAUGUUAAGGUUCGUUUAGACAGGGCGGUGGCGACGAACGCGUGGAGGAAUCUGUUUGCUUUUUCCUCUGUUGUGCAUAUACCCUCUCCCUGUUUGGAUCAUGUAGCUGUCUUGCUGAAGGGGUCGGCUGACCCAGGGCCUGUUGGCAGGAGCAGUAGGAGAUACGAGUUGUUUUGGGAACGGGAUGCUGCCUUGCCGGAAAUUAUAAAAGAAGCUUGGGCGGACGUGGGAGGAAUACAAACUCUGUCGCAGCUCUGUGAUGCACUAUCGAAAACUAUGGCAUCGCUAAGUGUUUGGAGCAAA
Molecule: ribosomal RNA, 402 nt
Filed under: Triticum aestivum (bread wheat)
Lineage: Eukaryota; Viridiplantae; Streptophyta; Magnoliopsida; Poales; Poaceae
Description: partial small subunit ribosomal RNA
Source: RNAcentral